Molecule: ribosomal RNA, 496 nt
Filed under: uncultured bacterium
Lineage: Bacteria
Description: partial 16S ribosomal RNA
Rfam family: Bacterial small subunit ribosomal RNA
Source: RNAcentral
GAUGAACGCUGGCGGCGUGCCUAAUACAUGCAAGUCGAGCGAACAGACGAGGAGCUUGCUCCUCUGACGUUAGCGGCGGACGGGUGAGUAACACGUGGAUAACCUACCUAUAAGACUGGGAUAACUUCGGGAAACCGGAGCUAAUACCGGAUAAUAUAUUGAACCGCAUGGUUCAAUAGUGAAAGACGGUUUUGCUGUCACUUAUAGAUGGAUCCGCGCCGCAUUAGCUAGUUGGUAAGGUAACGGCUUACCAAGGCAACGAUGCGUAGCCGACCUGAGAGGGUGAUCGGCCACACUGGAACUGAGACACGGUCCAGACUCCUACGGGAGGCAGCAGUAGGGAAUCUUCCGCAAUGGGCGAAAGCCUGACGGAGCAACGCCGCGUGAGUGAUGAAGGUCUUCGGAUCGUGAAACUCUGUUAUUAGGGAAGAACAAAUGUGUAAGUAACUAUGCACGUCUUGACGGUACCUAAUCAGAAAGCCACGGCUAACUACGU